GUGUCAGCCGCCGCGGUACUACAGAGGGUGCAGCGUUAAUCGGAAUUACUGGGCGUAAAGCGCACGCAGGCGGCUUUUUAAGUCGGAUGUGAAAGCCCCGGGCUCAACCUGGGAAUUGCAUUCGAUACUGGAAAGCUAGAGUAUGUGAGAGGGGGGUAGAAUUCCAAGUGUAGCGGUGAAAUGCGUAGAGAUUUGGAGGAAUACCAGUGGCGAAGGCGGCCCCCUGGCACACUACUGACGCUCAGGUGCGAAAGCGUGGGGAGCAAACAGGAUUAGAUACCCUGGUAGUCCACGCCGUAAACGAUGUCUACUAGAUGUUCGAGGUCUUGUACUUUGAGUAUCGCAGCUAACGCAUUAAGUAGACCGCCUGGGGAGUACGGUCGCAAGAUUAAA
This 393-nucleotide ribosomal RNA is filed under the name uncultured bacterium. RNAcentral describes it as "bacterial SSU rRNA". It matches the Rfam family "Bacterial small subunit ribosomal RNA", at positions 505 to 898 of the family's 1533-position model. The record is from RNAcentral.